GACGAACGCUGGCGGCGUGCUUAACACAUGCAAGUCGAACGGAAAGGCCCUGCUUUUGUGGGGUGCUCGAGUGGCGAACGGGUGAGUAACACGUGAGUAACCUGCCCUUGACUUUGGGAUAACUUCAGGAAACUGGGGCUAAUACCGGAUAGGAGCUCCUGCUGCAUGGUGGGGGUUGGAAAGUUUCGGCGGUUGGGGAUGGACUCGCGGCUUAUCAGCUUGUUGGUGGGGUAGUGGCUUACCAAGGCUUUGACGGGUAGCCGGCCUGAGAGGGUGACCGGCCACAUUGGGACUGAGAUACGGCCCAGAUUCCUACGGGAGGCAGCAGUGGGGAAUAUUGCACAAUGGGCGGAAGCCUGAUGCAGCAACGCCGCGUGCGGGAUGACGGCCUUCGGGUUGUAAACCGCUUUCGCCUGUGACGAAGCGUGAGUGAUGGUAAUGGGUAAAGAAGCACCGGCUAACUACGUG
Molecule: ribosomal RNA, 468 nt
Filed under: uncultured bacterium
Lineage: Bacteria
Description: partial 16S ribosomal RNA
Rfam family: Bacterial small subunit ribosomal RNA
Source: RNAcentral